UGGGGAAUUUUGGACAAUGGGCGCAAGCCUGAUCCAGCAAUGCCGCGUGAGUGAAGAAGGCCCUUGGGUUGUAAAGCUCUUUCGGUCGGGAAGAAGGAAGGAUGGCUAAUACCCAUUCUGACAGACGGUACCGGCAUAAGAAGCACCGGCUAACUACGUGCCAGCAGCCGCGGUAAUACGUAGGGUGCAAGCGUUAAUCGGAAUGACUGGGCGUAAAGGGUGUGUAGGCGGUUUAUUAAGUCUGAUGUGAAAGCCCCGGGCUCAACCUGGGAACUGCGUUGGAUACUGGUAAACUAGAGUACGUAAGAGGGGGGUGGAAUUCCACGUGUAGCAGUGAAAUGCGUAGAGAUGUGGAGGAACACCGAUGGCGAAGGCAGCCCCCUGGGACGAUACUGACGCU
Molecule: ribosomal RNA, 400 nt
Filed under: uncultured bacterium
Lineage: Bacteria
Description: bacterial SSU rRNA
Rfam family: Bacterial small subunit ribosomal RNA
Source: RNAcentral